This 359-nucleotide unclassified non-coding RNA is filed under the name uncultured fungus. Its description in RNAcentral is "partial contains small subunit ribosomal RNA, internal transcribed spacer 1, and 5.8S ribosomal RNA". The stretch from base 1 to 73 matches the Rfam family "Eukaryotic small subunit ribosomal RNA", at positions 1759 to 1831 of the family's 1831-position model. Lineage: Eukaryota; Fungi. The record is from RNAcentral.
ACAAACUUGGUCAUUUAGAGGAAGUAAAAGUCGUAACAAGGUAACCGUAGGUGAACCUGCGGUUGGAUCAUUAAAAAAUGUUUGGUCUUGUACCAAAUGAACACUUGUGUGCACUAAAUGACUGUUUUUGGUAGCUCGAGUUGACCAUCGGAACUCAACAUUCCUUUGGUCCUACUGCGAUUUGGAGAACGGGUUCGCCUAUUUUUUCGAAUCAUUUAUGCAGUUGGGCUACCGACCAUGUUAAAUAACUUUUUGUUUUUUUUUUGUCUGAAUUUUAAGAUUUGAUCUUUAUUGAUUGAAUAUUAAAUACAACUUUUGACAACGGAUCUCUUGGCUCUCGCAUCGAUGAAGAACGCAGC